This 463-nucleotide ribosomal RNA is filed under the name uncultured bacterium. Its description in RNAcentral is "partial 16S ribosomal RNA". It matches the Rfam family "Bacterial small subunit ribosomal RNA", at positions 339 to 795 of the family's 1533-position model. The record is from RNAcentral.
CUACGGGGGGCAGCAGUGGGGAAUAUUGCACAAUGGGCGCAAGCCUGAUGCAGCCAUGCCGCGUGUAUGAAGAAGGCCUUCGGGUUGUAAAGUACUUUCAGCAGUGAGGAAGGUGGUUAAGUUAAUAGCUUAAUCAUUUGACGUUAGCUGCAGAAGAAGCACCGGCUAACUCCGUGCCAGCAGCCGCGGUAAUACGGAGGGUGCAAUCGUUAAUCGGAAUUACUGGGCGUAAAGCGCACGCAGGCGGUUUGUUAAGUCAGAUGUGAAAUCCCCGGGCUCAACCUGGGAACUGCAUCUGAUACUGGCAAGCUUGAGUCUCGUAGAGGGGGGUAGAAUUCCAGGUGUAGCGGUGAAAUGCGUAGAGAUCUGGAGGAAUACCGGUGGCGAAGGCGGCCCCUGGACGAAGACUGACGCUCAGGUGCGAAAGCGUGGGGAGCAAACAGGAUUAGAUACCCCAGUAGUC